This is a long non-coding RNA of Acipenser ruthenus (sterlet), 254 nucleotides long. RefSeq lists it as uncharacterized. The record is from RefSeq and is a predicted model, not a curated record. Lineage: Eukaryota; Metazoa; Chordata; Actinopteri; Acipenseriformes; Acipenseridae. The transcript is spliced from 2 exons.
AAAAAUCCAUUAUCAUCUCAACCCUCGUUUACACCCUUUAGAAACGUUAGGCACACGCCUCAAAACAAGCAUGGACAAGGAAAAAGAAAUGAGGUACAGCAGCAUCCUUUAUUAUACAAUGUUAAAAUGAACGAGCAUAAAGAACAAUGCCUGGAUAAACAUGGCUACAAUUCUUGGUGUCUCUGGUCAGGUUUUAGAGUCAAGCACAGUACAGAAACACCCUGGUGAAGGUCAAGCACAGUACAGACACGCCC